AUGGCCUCUGAGUCCCUGUCGUCGGGCCAGUCUUCGCCAUGCAGCCCGGAGUCGUCUGUCCCGAGCUCGCCUGAGGUGAUUCCUGCAUCUCCGGUGACCGUCACGUCUCCGUCACCUUCGCCUCCGCCGGCUCCUGCUGCUGCUCUACGUCCACAUACGCGCAGUCGGAGUGGCAUUUUUCAGCCUAAGCAACGUCACGAUGGCACAGUUGCUUGGUUAGCGGCGUGCAUGUCUGCUGCUCUCGCAGAUCCAUCCUCUGAGCCACGCACAUAUCAAGCUGCUAUGCGCAUUCCUCAUUGGAGAGAGGCCAUGGAGCAGGAGUAUCAAGCGCUUCUUCGCAAUCAGACAUGGACUCUUGUUCCUCCACAAUCACGGGUAAAUGUCAUUGAUUCCAAAUGGGUUUUCAAAGUGAAGAGGCAUUCUGAUGGGUCCAUUGAGCGCUAUAAGGCUCGUCUGGUUGCUCGUGGUUUUCAAUAG
RNAcentral lists this ribosomal RNA (477 nucleotides) under Triticum aestivum (bread wheat). RNAcentral describes it as "partial small subunit ribosomal RNA". The record is from RNAcentral. Lineage: Eukaryota; Viridiplantae; Streptophyta; Magnoliopsida; Poales; Poaceae.